GCCUAACACAUGCAAGUCGAACGAACCCUUCGGGGUUAGUGGCGCACGGGUGCGUAACGCGUGGGAACCUGCCUUUAGGUUCGGAAUAACUCAGAGAAAUUUGAGCUAAUACCGGAUAAUGUCUUCGGACCAAAGAUUUAUCGCCUUUAGAUGGGCCCGCGUUAGAUUAGAUAGUUGGUGGGGUAAUGGCCUACCAAGUCGACGAUCUAUAGCUGGUCUGAGAGGAUGAUCAGCCACACUGGGACUGAGACACGGCCCAGACUCCUACGGGAGGCAGCAGUGGGGAAUAUUGGACAAUGGGCGAAAGCCUGAUCCAGCAAUGCCGCGUGA
RNAcentral lists this ribosomal RNA (330 nucleotides) under marine bacterium SIMO-IS138. RNAcentral describes it as "bacterial SSU rRNA". It matches the Rfam family "Bacterial small subunit ribosomal RNA", at positions 46 to 404 of the family's 1533-position model. The record is from RNAcentral. Lineage: Bacteria; Pseudomonadati; Pseudomonadota; Alphaproteobacteria.